Molecule: ribosomal RNA, 248 nt
Filed under: uncultured bacterium
Lineage: Bacteria
Description: partial 16S ribosomal RNA
Rfam family: Bacterial small subunit ribosomal RNA
Source: RNAcentral
GAUCCUGGCUCAGGACGAACGCUGGCGGCGUGCCUAAUACAUGCAAGUUGAGCGCUGAAGGUUGGUACUUGUACCGACUGGAUGAGCAGCGAACGGGUGAGUAACGCGUGGGGAAUCUGCCUUUGAGCGGGGGGACAACAUUUGGAAACGAAUGCUAAUACCGCAUAAAAACUUUAAACACAAGUUUAAGUUUGAAAGAUGCAAUUGCAUCACUCAAAGAUGAUCCCGUCGUUGUAUUAGCUAGUUGG